Non-coding RNA from Anas platyrhynchos (mallard), 5232 nucleotides. NCBI's taxonomy places the organism in Eukaryota, Metazoa, Chordata, Aves, Anseriformes, Anatidae. The record is from RefSeq and is a predicted model, not a curated record.
GUAACCAUACAUCCAGCCUGAGUCAAACAAAUCACUUUCUAGUUCCUGUGGUGUUGUCAGAAAAAAAGUCCAGAACCCAGAAGCCAAUUAUUUCGGAGUUUUGUGUUUUGUUUUGUUUUUCUUUCCUCUAGCAUCAAGUUGCUGUGCCAAAGCUGUGUUGGCUGAUCAGGGUUAACAGAAUUAGAAAGUGAUGAAAUGUUGAUAAAACCCUGGUGAUGAGUCAUUAGCAUACAAAGCAAUCUGGUGACUAAGAACACAAGUUUUGUAUUCCCAUUUUUCAAGCACAUGUAUAGGUAGGAGCAAUUAAAAAUCCCCAGAAGAAAUCUGUCUCAGAGCAGAUUCUUUGCCUUUGAUUAGUGCUGUGGAAGGUGCUGACAAAUUGUGCAGUGCUUCUUUUUCAUUUUAACUGAAAAUCCCAUUGCCUACCCACUUGUGAAGGCUGGGUUCUGCUCUCUCCUGGCUCUGUGGCCGGUUGUAUUUCCACUUCACCCUCUGCUUCCAAAUCUGUUGGAUGUCUGAGCUCAGGAAGGAAACUCUGCAUGUGCUUGAGAAAGGGGGGAGCCAGAGGCAGGUGAAGUUUAUUCCCCUGAAUUGCUCUUGAAGGCUCGUUCAAGAUGUCAGAGUCACUGGUGACUCACAAAACGAUGCCAGUGGAGCAACAGCAAAGCAUCCGAUUCUGUAGGUCACAGCCAGAUCUGUUACCAGCCCAUGGCCUACUCCACAUGGGCACCAUGUUCUGUUUAAUCUCUGGUAAGCAAUCAUGUAAUUACAAAGGGCUUCCUACAAACAGGUUCCUUGAGGAGAGGCCAAAGGGCAGAGAAGGGAAUCUGUUCUCCACCUCACCUCUCCCAGCACCACCACGUUUAUGGGCUUUGUAUGGAGGUGCAGGACCCCUGUAGCUAAUACCGUGCUGUCUGCAGUAUUUGAAGACCUGAGAUCCACUUUCACUUGCACUAUAUUGAAGUGGUGGUACUUCCACCAGUCAGCCCAGUGCUCUGACUGCUAGCCGUGGGGAUUUCUGUGUCUUCUGCACCCCACAGGAGUUCUGGACCAGGACCCCACAGCCCGUUGCAGGAGCUUUUUGUCCUGAUCUUUCCGUUUGGCCUGUCUGAGGGAAGUUCAGUGUUCCCAGUCCUUGACUGUUGUGUUAACUGGAUUUACUGCCCCAAACAAUAAUUGCUGCCUUUCUGUGAUGCAGUUUAGAGACUGUGUGAAUUCUGUGAACUUUAGGAAGGGUGGGUCUUCCAGGUCGUUAGUCAGCUGUGCCUCCUCCCACGUGGAGAAAUGGGGUGAUGAGUGCUUCCAAGAAGCUUGAAGGAAGGUGAUCUUCAGGUGUUGCAGUGUGCCCUUGGGGCUGUAAUGAAUGUAAAUACUGACAUCUACCAAUUCUCUUUUAAAAAUCUCUUUAGUGCUAAAGAGGCCCAAACUGUAAUCCAACGAAGAGGGAAAUUGGCCCUGAGCAGGCCUGGAGUGACACAGCCCUGUUCCUCAGUCCCUAAGUUUAUAAGAAUGGGAAAAGUGAGGCUGGUGGAGAUGCUUUGUGCUGCUUGCAGGUGGCUCAGGUAUCCUGGAUUUUUCUUCCAGCCCAACUAGCUGGGUCAGGUGUCUCAGACAAAGGAGCCUGGCCUCAUUUCCAUCGUGCUUUCACAAAGGAAUCCCAGGCCUUGGUGUGCGGCUGCUUCUGCUGCUGGAGCAUCAGAUUUCCUCAGUGCACCAGUGGUUCAGCGCUGCCACAGUUUGUUUUCUGGCUGCUUAAACUGUGAGCUGAAAGCACUGACCUCAGCAUUGAUUUCUGUCCCACCAAAACCUGGGCAGGUCGUACCGUAUCCCAGAGCCUGCUCCUCAUUUCCUUCUGUUAUUCCAAACCUGCCUCAGUCCAGGCUUGCUGGUAUUCCCUCUGCCCUGCUUCCUCCUGGUUCAGCCUUGGAGAAAUUUUCUUCUGUGCCAGUUCUUUCACACAACUUUAUCCAUAUUUGACCUACUUGUCAUUUUUGUAGAGUCGUCUGAAAACAGCAGGAGAGGGAGAGGGAUGAUGGAUCUGAGGGGUGCUGGCUCUUGAUAAAAAAAAACAUUUGCAGAACAGCGGACACCUCACGCAAAUCAAGGCUGUGGUCUGCAGACAAGUGUCUGAAUGAGACAGAGCUGUUUUUGCCAUGCUGCAAAUACCAGGAGCGUGUAUUGCGUGGUGUCCUGGGGCUCUGUGCAGGAGGAAGGGAGAGGCCCCAGGGCCCCGGUGUCACCCGCACCUCAGCUGAAUGCAAUCCCGCACUGCCAGGCAGGAAGAGAUGCAGGGGCUGGGAGAGGAGCUCUGGUGUGGAAAAGGCUGGGAGCUGUGGCUCCAGGGUUUUCCUGCUCAUCAGGAACACCCCGAGGGUUUCACUACAGUGGGAAUAACAGCUAAAGAUUUAAGCGAGGGCUAACAACAAGGAGAAUAAAAUAAGACUGCGAGAAAAGCAAGCAGUAAAGAUUUCUCAGCUGCAGAAUACUCCGUAACGCUGCAAAACAACAUUGGCUCACUGCAGACCGAAAUCCGGAGCCGCUCAGAGAUUCCCCAGUCAUUGACUGGUUUUAAUGUAUUCCUCGCAGCCAGCCAGCGCUCCGCUUGCGGGCACGGCAGCCAACGCGCCCCCGCCAAUCACCGCCGCUGGAGCCGGGCUGCUCCUGCGAGGAACGUGAAGGAAGCCGAUGGCUGCGGAGCAAUGCAGACAAAGCAGGAGUGAGAGGCAGACAAAAGGGAUGGAGUCCCAGGAGAUGUGAUCCACCCCGUUAAAGGAGGCGUCCGUAGCCUCUGCAGCUGUGUUGAUGCUGCUUCGCGCAAGAGGCACCAGCCUCUCGUCCCCCCCGGGAGAUCGUUACGGCAUUAAUUGCCUCUGCACAAAACCCGGCCGUGAGGCUGCUCCUCGGCAGCCGCCCGCUCCUGCCUCCAGCCCUCGCCGGUUCGGAGAUCCCGGCCAGCAGGAGCGGUGCCCCUCCAGCUGGCCCCCGGGGAUCAGAUGUCACCUGUACCCAAUGAAGCAGAUCCCGAAGUGCCACGAAUGGAUCCCAGGAUUCUUAUUUUCCUCCUCUACGUGAUGAUCCUUCACGAGCUGGUGAGUGGCUGGAUGGAGUACCAAAAGCAGAUAGCCAAGCCGAAGAAGCAGGCGGGUCCGGUGUGGUCUUCUAGCAGCGCCACCAGACUGAACCACUCCAGCUUCUCCAGGCCGCUGGUCCACUCGGUGCGCAGGGAGCGCUACCGGGACUGGAGGAAACCAGGACGGAUCAUCCGGAAGGCGUGAGGACGCCCCAAGGUCUGUCGGGGAGCAUGGGGAGAGCUUCCCGAGCCCAAAGACACCACCCCUCAUGCGGCCCGCACCGACCACCGUGCAGCAGCCGGUGUGAGAGCAUCCCACAGGCACCGUGAGCUGCGCCCUGCAGCUUUCUCCUUCCCCUGAGCCUGGUGUUGGUGAGAAGGAAAGAGCCCCUUCCUCACGGGGACCUGGCACUGCAUGGCGAGGGGCAGGGGAGAUGCCCCCAGCCAGCAGCAGUGGCCCCAGAUGAGGUUUUUGCACCCAGCGCAGCGAGGUGACUUUUCUUUCUUCUUCCCAAAGGGCUGAGUAGAUGGAGAGCAGAUUUCUUUGGGGCAGAAUGAAAUGAAUGAAAUUUGCUCCUUGGGCAACUGUGGGAAGCCUCCAAAGGGUUUCAGUCUCCUCUCGCCCACCCGAGGGCUGCAUGGCUGGUGAGCAGCGUUGCCCAAAGUGGUGGAAGGCUUUGGUGUCCCGCUGGUGACCCGUCCCCAGAGCCCCCGAGGGACGUGCUUCCACGGGGGCACCCAAAGAGAUGGCACCCAUCGCUUCGGAAGUGCUGGCUCCCUGUUCAGUCUCACCCACGGGGGUCUGUACGUUCUUUCUGCUUUUCGUCACGCUGUUGAGUGGGUGGCUGUGGGCUGGAGGAAGGAAAGCACCCUGAACUGGUGACUCAGAGUUAUGCCACUGAAGGCAAUUUGCUGCAAUGACCUUGUAAUUAGAUUUCUUUGCAGCAUUCCCAGCAGUCGAGGCAAAUGUAAAAGUGACUUUCUAAUGAGCAGAUAGAUGGCAAAAGAAUACAAUAUUGCUCUUUUAUUAGUCUGUGAUUUAGACAUAAAAUUAGAUUUCAGAGGCAAGAGUCGGUUCGUGCGUCCUGCCGCCCUGCUUACAGUCAUGUGUGGAACUGGGAAUCUCUGAGCGCUGGCAGGAUUCUGACACCAGGCUCUAACAGCAAAUGUUCAGGGCAAAACUGACUGCCUUGUUUGCUGAACAUAACGUUUGGCUCAAACACAGCCUGUUUUUCUCGUUGCCAACCAUUUAUAAGCCUGACUCAGGCUCGCAGACGCAUUAUCCAGAAGUAGAUAGGGAAGGGACUCGGAACCAGGCAUUCCGUAUGCUGAAGUAGCCACCUGCUGCAUUUGCAUGCCCGUCUGCUUCCUGGCUGUGUGCGAGGCGCUCCUGCGGUGGGGGCUGCGUUUGCUGAAGCUUGCAGGAGGCACCUGGGCGAGGGCAGAGCUCUGCGCCCGAACAGGGCACCCGGAGCCUAAGCAGGAGGAAGCUGGGGGCACCCUGCUCCUGAGGUACCCGUCCUCUGCCCUGGGCAAGCUGGCAAGCAGCUUGGUUGAAGGGCUCUGCUCCUCCGGGAGAUGAAGUUCUGGCCUUGUGAGAUGAAGUUUGUGUCUUCAGUUCUGAGAUUUUUUUUGAGAAAGGAGCAAGAAGUAGUAAGGAACCUGCUUUCUGUGCACCCAAAAGGAUAAACUUACAAAGAUGUGCCUCAGCUCUGGGACACUGUGGCUAUCCCCGAGGCGUCCACUGCCUGUCCCAGUACACACAGGUGCGUCCACAAAGAACAGAACAACAAAGAGAAGGUAUUGGGGGAAAAAAUACGGUGGGAAAGCAUUUCUGGACGGUGGAGGUUUUGCUUUCCUGGCGUUCAGCCUGCCCCCAGCCCGUGGGGGAUGUGGCUGGGUGCUCUGCCUGCCCUUCUGCUGGUGUGGGGGAACUGCUGGGAGCGAUCAGCACGCAGAGCUGUGUACCUGAACUCCUGGGGUGCUGCGGGACGUGGCCGGGCUCCCAGCCUCAGCAGAGCAGGGGGACACAAACGGGACAGAGAUGUCCAAACGGCCGCACCCUUGGGAAGGGACAGGAAUGCUUUGCUUUGCUGAUCACAUGCUGGAUUUAUCCCUGUAAAUGCCCUCCUGUUUCCUUCCAAUAAACUCUUUUACAUACA